UACCUGGAGGACUAGUGGUUAGGCUUCUGUGCUCUGACCUCCGUGGCCCGGGUUCGAUUCCUGGCCAGGGAA
Molecule: non-coding RNA, 72 nt
Organism: Pangasianodon gigas (Mekong giant catfish)
Lineage: Eukaryota; Metazoa; Chordata; Actinopteri; Siluriformes; Pangasiidae
Source: the annotation of a GenBank genome assembly